UACGUAGGGUGCGAGCGUUGUCCGGAUUUAUUGGGCGUAAAGCGCGCGCAGGCGGUUCUUUAAGUCUGAUGUGAAAGCCCACGGCUCAACCGUGGAGGGUCAUUGGAAACUGGGGAACUUGAGUGCAGAAGAGGAGAGCGGAAUUCCACGUGUAGCGGUGAAAUGCGUAGAGAUGUGGAGGAACACCAGUGGCGAAGGCGGCUCUCUGGUCUGUAACUGACGCUGAGGCGCGAAAGCGUGGGGAGCAAACAGG
This 253-nucleotide ribosomal RNA is filed under the name uncultured bacterium. RNAcentral describes it as "partial 16S ribosomal RNA". It matches the Rfam family "Bacterial small subunit ribosomal RNA", at positions 524 to 776 of the family's 1533-position model. The record is from RNAcentral.